ACUGCACUCCAGCCUGGUGACAGAGCGAGACUCUGUCUCAAAAAAGAAAUAGGCUAAGCUAGCAAGAGGCUUGCUGCCAUAGACAGCUAAGGAUGGUGUUUACUCAUGGGGUGCCUUAAGUAUCCCACAAAUUUGUGAGAGGCUGCCAGCCACAGACCUGUUAAUCUGUGAUACCUCCUGUGAUUGGACUUUCCCAGGACUAGCAGGGACAAACAAGCAUUGCCAUGACAAAAGUCCCUUAUGUAUGGGACUUAAUACAAAUGACCUUGAGCGCUCGGCACAUUCAGAACAGAGUGUGCUGCUUAGUAUCUUACUUGUCAGGGGAUUCCCAGUGUUUUUAGACUGGUGAUGUGGUUUGGCUGUGCCCCCACCCAAAUCUCCACUUGAAUUGUAUCCCCCAGAUUUCCCACGUAUUGUGGGAGGGACCCAGGGGGAGGUAAUUGAAUCAUAGGGGGCUGGUCUGUCCCAUGCUAUUCUCAUGAUAGUAAAUAAGUCUCAUGGGAUCUGAUGGGUUUAUCAGGGGUUUCUGCUUUUGUUUCUUCCUCAUUUUCUCUUGCCGCUGCCAUGUAAAUAGUGCCUUUCGCCCUCCGCCAUGAUUCUGAGGCCUCCCCAACCAUGUGGAACUGGUCUCACUUCACUCCCCAGACUGAAGUUCCAUGGCAUGAUCAUGGCUCUCUGCAGCCUCAACUUCCCAGCCUCAAGCAACCCUCCCAUCUCAGCCUCCUGAGUUGCUGGAACCACAGUGUACAUCCACCUCCAGCUCCAGGACUCUACCUCUCAUCAAGGCUGACCAGAAGCAAGAUGAUGGAAGCCAAGAGAGCUCCUCUGCAUGCUCCACUAAGCUCUGCUCUGCAUCUGCCGUGAUUCUUCUUCCAAACAGAAAACACCGUCUUUCUUUUUGACUACAUCUGUCCUCAGAGAUGGUGCUGAUGGAUCCAUUUAUAAUUUAUGUGAAUUUAAACCUUUGCAAUUUUUACAUGGAAUAAAAGGACCCAUUUUCUGGAAAGAAAAUGCUGAACAAGAGCUGAGAACCUGGGGCAAUCUAAGGCAGGGGUUCCUCCCUAACACCCCUGCUGUCAGAAGCCAGCUGGUUGGCCAUAGAUCACUUCACCUAACACCCAGUGCCCAGUCAGAUUUGCCCCCAAAUUGUACAACUCAAGCUUAACUUUCACAUAUUUUAAGAUAGUGUCAGCCCCUUUUGCAAUAUGUAGAUGAUACUUUUUGUUUGUCAUUUACCAUUUCAAAAAAA
This is a long non-coding RNA of Pan troglodytes (chimpanzee), 1249 nucleotides long. RefSeq lists it as uncharacterized. Lineage: Eukaryota; Metazoa; Chordata; Mammalia; Primates; Hominidae. The record is from RefSeq and is a predicted model, not a curated record. The transcript is spliced from 3 exons.